Equus caballus (horse) is the source of this 3762-nucleotide long non-coding RNA. The record is from Ensembl. Lineage: Eukaryota; Metazoa; Chordata; Mammalia; Perissodactyla; Equidae.
CAGGAUAAAGCCUUUGGGGAAGAGAUUAUAAGAACGGGAAGAACUGGUUUGUCUCUCCACUCUGAGUUGGAGCAAGAGGGUGUGACAGUGAGAGGAGCAUUAGAGAGAAGAGACUUGGAGAAAAGUGAGUGAGACGUGUGUUGCACCUCUGCAGCUCACCCUCCUCAUUAUGGGAGUUGGUGGUACUUGACUCAUCUUCCCAUGCAACUGGAUGCUCCAAAGGGACCUGCCCUUGAAAUUUUGGGGUAUCUUCACGGCUUCAGAAUCAACUAGACAUCAGUCAGUUCAUUGCGUCUCACUCUCUUCUUCAUCGACGGGCCUUGUGAAUUAUUGGUAAAAUAGAUACAGGUGCACCUUUCAGGGGCUGGGCCAUGGAGGACCCCAAGACCCUCUCCCGGUCUCUGGAUUAUGGACUUACGAGCCUGACAAAGCAGUGGAGCAGAUACAGCGCCGUCAGGUGGUGGAACUGAAUGCGUGGCUGCUAAGGUAAGGAUGCUAAUUCAUGUGCGUGAGCAUGGGAGAGAGAGUCCCAGUCAAUGAGCACCGGUGACAGGACUUCAACCUCUGGAGCAUCUGCCUGGACUCUCUUGGCUCUCCCUUCCUCUGGAUGAAGGGCAUCUCCACGCAUUCCACCCUUGGGAACACCGCCAGCUUGACAAAUACUACUAUCAACAAUUUGAGAAAGACCAUGAAUGUUUCCACAAUAGUGUGAUCUGUCAGAUAACUGCUUUUUGUUCACAAUUCAUAGUGCACUUAUCAUUAUUAUAGAGCAUUUUAUUACUAGCCAGAUCAAUUAGAAGUUAACUAGAUUCAAAGAGUAUUACAUUUUUUAUCAUCCUCAUGAUGUAGCAAAGGAAAAAGGAAUACAAAGUAGUGAUGUGUCUUGCCCAGACUUUCAAACAAACAAGUGAAAAAGGGAUGGUGUUGGAUGAUGUUUGAGAUGCUGUUAGGUGGUUUAUGGCUGCACCUGUUACAUGAUUGUGGCCAGAGACGGGAGGAGGGUCACCGGUCUCCUCUGCCACAUGCUUGUACGUCUUUGCAGCAUGACUGCCUUCCUUCCUAAGGGCACUUGGACUGGUCUGUAGAUUUUGUUUUACUCUGUGGUUUCUUUCUUUUCACAAUAGACUAAGGUAAUUGAUAUUUCACUUUUGAAAAAAAGCACAUUCUACUGUGGUUGUAGCAACUUGUCUGGAAUACCCAGCCGCAAUGUUUUUAAUGUAAUUUUGUACUCACAGACUUGGCUAGAAGAAUUUCAGAGAUGCAUGCUUUAAAUAUGGGUUGUUGCUCUGAUUCAAGAAAGAAAGUUCUCAGCAAUUUAAAUACAAGGAAAGGUUCUAGCCGCGACUUGUGAUCAUCAUGAAGCCAUAGGUCUGGUUCACAAGUCUACAAUGCCAUUGCUGUCACUAAGACUCUUGUUUCAUGCCUAUUGUUGGUUUCCUUCCAGUGCCAUGAGCUGAGGUGGCAUUACCUUCACCGGCAGGUGUAAGAAGUGGGAAUUCCUGAGGAAGCUCCAAUCAGAUAAGGAGCAAUCAAAACAGCUAGUGAUGCCAGGUCACUCUGAGAGGGAACAGAGAAUGCUGCAGUUGUCUGGGACUAAAGCCACUUUAUUAUGAUUAAUAUGUGGAACCAUUUGAAGCUUUGAAAGUUACUGUAUACAUCAAGGAAAACAAACAUUUUUAUUAUUAAAUGCUUGCAGUGCAGUUUUAAAAACAUAGCUGGUCUUAUCUUGGCAAAUGAUGUUUUACAUACUUUCUUGUAGGUAUGCAAGAUCCAGAAGCUGCAGGAAGCUUUAUUAAAUAGUUAAAGCCACAGAAUGCCGAGAUAUGGAAAGCACUAGCCCUAAGCAAAACUGCAAAGGAGUGAAGCUCCUAUUCGGGCGUUACCACCUUUUUUUCUACAGUCCUUCCUUGCGGCCCUCUCUUGGUGCCCUGUAAAUCAGUGGUGUGGGGGAAAGAUCACUGAGCUUGGAGUUAGAAGAGUCAGCUUUGCAUCUUGCCACUCAAAAUAACAUUAGGCCUACCCUCACAGAACAUACACAACAAAAAGUAAAUCCUUGCAAAGUCAGUCAAAUGCUGUUUUAAAUGAGUUCAUGCAUUAACUCAUUUAAUCCUUAAAACCACUCAUGAUGUAGGUACUGUUGUUAUCCCCAAUUUACAGGUGGAGACACUGAGACACAGAGUGGAUAAAUAACGCGCCUGCGUUCACACAGCUCGUCACAGCUGGAGCUGGGAUACGGGUUCAGGCAGUCUUGCUCUAGAGCUGUGGCUCGCAGCACAGUGCUCUUUGGGUUCAAUGAAACAAAACACGUUAAAAUACUGAGCGCAUGAUGACAACUGUGCAGAGACCCUGAAGUGCCUACCUAACAGUCGCUCAACUUCUCUUCCUUAGAACAACUUCUCAUCUCAUAUGGGGAUUUAAAGUGCCCAAUUAAAAGACCACGUUUGCCAGCCACUGAGAAUAAAGAAAUGUCAGUGGAAACUGUGAGGUGGGAAGUCCUGGAAAACCUCGUGGGGGAGGGGCAGACAGGGGGCAUGUGUCAUUUAUGCAGGUCACGCCUUCCUUUCUGCUUCCUUCCUGGAUAAAUUGUUGGACCUCCAGCUGUCGCCUGGCCCCACAAAGAAGCCAUGAGGAUGUAAGCCACCUGCUGUGGCUGGGAAACAGAGAGGCAGGACGCGGGACCUCGACGACAAAUAGAGCUGCCACCCUACUGCAGGUGCUUUACCUGGAUGAUCUUUGUUAAAUGCACAGAAAUGAAUUUCUACCUUCUUGAGGCUACUUGUUUCUGGUCUCUCACCAGCAGCUGACAUCAGGAGCUGAUUAAGAACUCAAUCCAUUUUUUAAAAUUUUAGAUCAAUAGAAAGAGAUUUGUUUCCAUGUACUCAGGGCUAACCACUGUGAGGAGGGUGGGCGAGAACUCCCACGGAAUAUUAUACAUGGUUCUGCUGCUCAAGGAGUUUCCGCUUUGCUGUGGAGCAAUCAAGAUGAACUCUGGCACAGCAGGGGGCUUCAAGAUCUGCUCCAACACUCUGGAGAUGCUCUUUCUGAUGGUUCACAGUUUUUUCAAAGUACUUUGGAGGCAAAAGCCCACAUGAUGUGUCGUAAGAGCUGAUGAGAUGGCUUUUCUCUUUCUAUCUCCAAACAAAAGGCUCGACCAAGAUGGCACAAAAGGAAGAGGAAGCCAGCAGAUGGGGAGGUCAGAACAGGAAGACUGCAAUACUCUGAAACGAAUGCCAGAUGUGGGUAAAUGGAUAUCAGAAAAAUAAAACAAGAAAGAGGAAAACUUGUUGCUUCCCAUUGUGUGUUUAUACAAAAUCCACUAUACACACACGUAUUUUUAAGGAAUAUGUGGCUCAGCCUACACAAACACAGGAUUUUGUAGAGUUCACAGCAUCACCAAGUUGCUGAAGAAACAGAUUAGGCUGAAGCUUCCAGGACAUUUCCUGAACUACUCUGCACAACCAGCCCAGACAGCAGCCACCACCAACUGAUGAAGAUCAAGGCUGCCCCUGCCCCAGGGAGAGAAGUCCAAGGUCCAAGGCGUCCUGCCCUACAUACUGAUCUAUAUCAUCCUACGGGAAGCAUAGGGCGUCCUGACUUAAUCCAAUCUGAUUCUUAUCUAAAGUUAUAGGACCACCCAGUAACCAGACCCCACCCACACUGAUACCAUUUUAACGAUUUUGAUUUUUUUCAUGAUCUUUCCUUUGUCUUGUAAAUAAAUAACUCACAUACCUAUGCCUUAUCAAUUUAGCUCUAACUAUCAAC